This 333-nucleotide ribosomal RNA is filed under the name uncultured bacterium. Its description in RNAcentral is "bacterial SSU rRNA". It matches the Rfam family "Bacterial small subunit ribosomal RNA", at positions 10 to 348 of the family's 1533-position model. The record is from RNAcentral.
AGUUUGAUCAUGGCUCACAAUGAANUGUAGGCGGCGUGCUUAACACAUGCAAGUCGAACGAGAAAGCCCCUUCGGGGGUGAGCAAAGUGGCGAACUGGUGCGUAACGCGUAAGGAUCUUCCCUGCAGUGAAGGAUACCUCCGGGAAACCGGGGCUAAUACUGCAUACGUCCCUUCGGGGAGAAAGGUGGCCUCUUGCUACCGCUGUUGGAUGAACUUGCGUACUAUUAGCUUGUUGGUGAGGUAAAGGCUCACCAAGGCGGUGAUGGUUAGCCGACCUGAGAGGGUGAUCGGCCACAUUGGGACUGAGAUACGGCCCAGACUCCUACGGGAGG